UGUCUGGGAAACUGCCUGAUGGAGGGGGAUAACUACUGGAAACGGUAGCUAAUACCGCAUAAUGUCGCAAGACCAAAGUGGGGGACCUUCGGGCCUCAUGCCAUCAGAUGUGCCCAGAUGGGAUUAGCUAGUAGGUGGGGUAAAUGGCUCACCUAGGCGACGAUCCCUAGCUGGUCUGAGAGGAUGAUCAGCCACACUGGAACUGAGACACGGUCCAG
This 218-nucleotide ribosomal RNA is filed under the name uncultured Enterobacterales bacterium. RNAcentral's name for it is "partial 16S ribosomal RNA". It matches the Rfam family "Bacterial small subunit ribosomal RNA", at positions 114 to 334 of the family's 1533-position model. The record is from RNAcentral. Lineage: Bacteria; Pseudomonadati; Pseudomonadota; Gammaproteobacteria; Enterobacterales.